AUGGCUAAAAUUAUAGUCUCAUGUAUCAUUCUUAUCUGUCUUAAAGCCACAGUUAUCUCUUCCCUCAACAUCCAGCAAUCACCACAACAUCUACUAAUAAAACCUGAGGAGAGUCCAGCGAAGCUCAGCUGCCAGCAUGGUGAUAGCAGCUAUCAAUACAUGUACUGGUAUCAACAAAAAACAGUCAGUGACUCCAUUGAGCUCAUUGGAAUGCUCCAGUACAAAAACCCCAUUCCUGAGGAGAAGUUUAAAACCCGAUUCAACAUUUCAGGACACGCUACAGGGGAUGCAUAUCUGUUCAUAUCCAGUCUAACUCCUGAGGACAGUGCAGUAUAUUUCUGUGCUGCUAGUAAGCACAGCCACACACUUUCCCUUUCUGUUUAA
Hemibagrus wyckioides is the source of this 384-nucleotide non-coding RNA. The record is from the annotation of a RefSeq genome assembly. NCBI's taxonomy places the organism in Eukaryota, Metazoa, Chordata, Actinopteri, Siluriformes, Bagridae.